UCAAUAACACAAAAACAAAUUGUUUCAUUUUUUUUCCCACAGGAGCAAUAUGCAUGAAGCUAACUGACGGUGGGAUCAAAUUGCUUCUUUCAGCUUGUUCCUUUCACCUUACCGCGACCAUCCACUACGCACAAACAACAGCAAAACCACACCAUAACACUCCAGUGCUAUCAGACCGAGGUAUGUGAUUACAUGCAGAAAGUGUUUUUGUGUGUUUCCUGUCAAACUGGGGAAUAAUACGAGGAGCAGGCAGACUGAUGCAAGCUCAGGUCACCAAAUCAGGCUAUUUUUAAAGCCCAGCAGACUUUACAUAAGCGUUAUUCAUCAAGCAGCUUUUACAGAUAUGACUUCAGUGGCCCAGUAAGGAUUGGCUGGACACAACACCCACAUCAAAACAUCUGCUCUUCUCUGUGAGAGGGACUAAAGAGAAAUGCUUUCCCAUGAAGGGCAGUGCAUUUGAAAGCCUCGUGCCAUGGUAAGUGAUCAUUUGAUUUUAAUAACAAAUAUCAGUCAAUAUCAGUUGCAUCUCCACUGAGAGCACUGAAAUCAAGAUAGCCCUUUGUGGAGGCUUUCUGCCACACAGUUAUCUGAUGUAUUAGAGGGAUUUUUUCCCCCCUCUCUUUCUCUCUCUCUCUCUCUCUCUCUCUCUCUCUCUCUCUCUCUCUGAGAUAAAGAAACAUUGAUUCGGCAUGCUGAAAUUAAUGCAAGACAGAGGAGAAAGACAGAGAGGAAGACACAAAAACAAGUCUGAAUCAGCUAGAAAGGGCAGCAGAGUGGAACAUUUGACUAACAAGCAGUUUUUGAACGCACUUUGCUGUUGUCUCCGUAGGAACGCGUUGCCUUUCGAGGUCCCAUACAUCUAUCGAUCCUGCAUGGCUGAUGGAGAUGUCAAGAAAAGAGGGGGCAGACCUAAAGGACGAGUCAAAGAGACGAUGGUGGUGGAGAUACUACCAAUAUCAGUGGUGCCACAACAUCUGAUCCAGCCAGUGCAAGGAUCCUAA
RNAcentral lists this long non-coding RNA (1001 nucleotides) under Sparus aurata (gilthead seabream). RNAcentral's name for it is "lncRNA (ENSSAUG00010027494.1)". Lineage: Eukaryota; Metazoa; Chordata; Actinopteri; Spariformes; Sparidae. The record is from RNAcentral.